RNAcentral lists this ribosomal RNA (530 nucleotides) under uncultured bacterium. RNAcentral describes it as "bacterial SSU rRNA". It matches the Rfam family "Bacterial small subunit ribosomal RNA", at positions 381 to 905 of the family's 1533-position model. The record is from RNAcentral.
ACCUGAUCAGCCAUCCCGCGUGUGCGAUGAAGGCCUUCGGGUUGUAAAGCACUUUUGGCAGGAAAGAAAUGGCACGGGUUAAUAACCCGUGUUGAUGACGGUACCUGCAGAAUAAGCACCGGCUAACUACGUGCCAGCAGCCGCGGUAAUACGUAGGGUGCAAGCGUUAAUCGGAAUUACUGGGCGUAAAGCGUGCGCAGGCGGUUCGGAAAGAAAGGUGUGAAAUCCCAGGGCUUAACCUUGGAACUGCAUUUUUAACUACCGGGCUAGAGUGCGUCAGAGGGGGGUGGAAUUCCGCGUGUAGCAGUGAAAUGCGUAGAUAUGCGGAGGAACACCGAUGGCGAAGGCAGCCCCCUGGGAUGACACUGACGCUCAUGCACGAAAGCGUGGGGAGCAAACAGGAUUAGAUACCCUGGUAGUCCACGCCCUAAACGAUGUCAACUAGCUGUUGGGGCCUUCGGGCCUUAGUAGCGCAGCUAACGCGUGAAGUUGACCGCCUGGGGAGUACGGUCGCAAGAUUAAAACUCAAA